Molecule: long non-coding RNA, 262 nt
Filed under: Lathyrus oleraceus (garden pea)
Lineage: Eukaryota; Viridiplantae; Streptophyta; Magnoliopsida; Fabales; Fabaceae
Description: Pisum sativum (pea) long non-coding RNA (PSAT_LNC006889)
Source: RNAcentral
CACUCUAUACCUGAUAACAAUUUCUUAAAACCUCCUCGAACUCCUCCAACUGUCAAAGAAAUCUCUAACAACUUCCAACUGUCACGAACCACCCUAUAACUAACUCCAUAACCAACUUCUUCAACCUCGUCUAACUCCAUAACCAACUUCUUCACUCUCUAAUUUCCAAAACUUCCAAACUUUAAUCUCCCUCUCUUCCAAUCUUCCUCAACUCUAAUCGAAAAUUACUAACCAAAAACCUCACCCCUCAACAGAAUUUAAA